GCGGACGGGUGAGUAACGCGUGGGUAACCUGCCCUGUACACACGGAUAACAUACCGAAAGGUAUGCUAAUACGAGAUAAUAUACUUUUAUCGCAUGGUAGAAAUAUCAAAGCUUUUGCGGUACAGGAUGGACCCGCGUCUGAUUAGCUAGUUGGUAAGGUAACGGCUUACCAAGGCGACGAUCAGUAGCCGACCUGAGAGGGUGAUCGGCCACAUUGGAACUGAGACACGGUCCAAACUCCUACGGGAGGCAGCAGUGGGGAAUAUUGCACAAUGGGCGAAAGCCUGAUGCAGCAACGCCGCGUGAGCGAUGAAGGCCUCCGGGUCGUAAAGCUCUGUCCUCAAGGAAGAUAAUGACGGUACUUGAGGAGGAAGCCCCGGCUAACUACGUGCCAGCAGCCGCGGUAAUACGUAGGGGGCUAGCGUUAUCCGGAAUUACUGGGCGUAAAGGGUGCGUAGGUGGUUUCUUAAGUCAGAGGUGAAAGGCUACGGCUCAACCGUAGUAAGCCUUUGAAACUGGGAAGCUUGAGUGCAGGAGAGGAGAGUGGAAUUCCUAGUGUAGCGGUGAAAUGCGUAGAUAUUAGGAGGAAC
RNAcentral lists this ribosomal RNA (590 nucleotides) under uncultured Clostridium sp. RNAcentral describes it as "bacterial SSU rRNA". It matches the Rfam family "Bacterial small subunit ribosomal RNA", at positions 98 to 707 of the family's 1533-position model. Lineage: Bacteria; Bacillati; Bacillota; Clostridia; Eubacteriales; Clostridiaceae. The record is from RNAcentral.